AAUUUCAUAACUUGCUAAUAUGUGAGUUUGCAGCUGAGUUACACUCACAUUUUUCUACAAUUUGUCAUUGAAGACCAACCAAUUCAGCAUCAAACCUAACAUGUUCCCCUUAUGGCUAAAUUGAGAUUACUUUGGCCUAACUUUGUUUCCAAAACCAAGUAAUAGGUACUAUUUAGUAUUUACUACCCCACGUAAAAGGGGAGUGCUUUGUAAAAGUAAGCAAAGUACUGAGGUAUGUUGACCAAAGCACUAUAUCAAAUAAUGCAAUGGACAUAGCUUGUUUCACAACAAAUUUCAUAAUUGUUGAAGUGAUUGAUAUAAGUGAUGAACACAACUGACACUCAUGAAUCCAUUGAUUUUUCUUUACCACUCACAAGAUCACUUCAUAAUUGUGAAAUUUUUCAUUAAAAAAAUUUAUAUCCAUAGCAUUAAUUAUAAAUGAAAGAAGUUUUAUAUCAAAGAAAAGAGAUAGUAUUAUUUUGCAAAUUCAUGUUUGGCUACUCUGAUAGAUAAAAACUAUCCGUUAGAGCCAAACACAAGUAGCAAGAAGACAACAUAUGUACAGUUCUCUUUUAUAUCUUAUUGCAUUUGCAAAGGUGAAUGGAUAUGGCAAUAACAAGCCUCACCCUCAGCAGCAUGUGCAGCUACACUUGGCUUCAAAGCUCAACGCCACCACCACCGCCAUCACCACCACCUCGGCUGAGUGUUUGUUGCUAUUCUUCUACUCAGCUCUCUGUUCACAAAACCUUGACACACAUUCACAGUUCUAGUGUCAUAGCUUGCCUUCGUGCCAACAGGAUAACGCAAAGCUGGCACUAAAAGUUGCACGUGCUACACUUAGUGGUGGCAUCUCAGUUCUGGAGAUUGUGAUGUCUACCCCAGGUUCUUCAAUAGCUGGUGCAGGAGCAUCCUACUACAACCUUAGGAGUAAUUCUUGUUAGGUUCUAAGUACUUAGGAACUAAUGUAUUAGAACUCUAAUGUGUAUUGUUGACAAACCAUGAUCAAAACAGGUUGUUUAGUUUUGUUUAGACUUGCUCAAAGUUGUGUCUUUUAUGUAAAGUUGGAAUCGAGCUGUUGUAGAAUUAAGUAUGCAUUUCGGCCUGGCUCGAUCGAUCGAAGCUUAGACUCGAUCGAUUGAAUCUCGGGCAGAAUGUUUUUUCUGCAGAAUUUUUCCAACUCAGCCCGAGCCUAUUAAAACGUGUAAGGUUUUAUGUUUUGCCCUAAGUAUAAAAGGCAAACCCUAGCCACGUCUUUUAAGGUUGAUCUAUUUGUUGUGUGUGUGAAUCUCUUGUGAGAUCUAGAGGUGGUUGCCUUCACACAUGCUUAGAAUUAUCAAGAAGGAGAUUUGAUUGAGAGCUUGAUGAUCAUUCAGUUGCUGCACUAAAGAGUUUAAAGAAACACAAGCGGGUGUACUUGUACUUGUUGGAGAAUCCAAGAAAGAAGGAGUCCGUGAUCUCGAACCUUGCACGUGAUCGUGUCAGUAAGUUUCUACUAGUGGAUAGCAAUAGGAUGUUAGUGAUCUAAGUCGCUAUUGUAAAACUUCGAUUCUUUCAUAGUGGAUUCAAGUUUACCUUGAGGAUUGCUAGAUUAAAUCCUCCCUAGAUUUUUACCGGUGUGGUUUCCUGGGUCAUCA
This is a long non-coding RNA of Quercus robur (English oak), 1634 nucleotides long. RefSeq lists it as uncharacterized. NCBI's taxonomy places the organism in Eukaryota, Viridiplantae, Streptophyta, Magnoliopsida, Fagales, Fagaceae. The transcript has 4 exons. The record is from RefSeq and is a predicted model, not a curated record.